AUCUUUUCAUGAUAGUGUUGAGUGGAAGGAUCUUUACUCCAAGUAUGGUGAUGAGAUGAUUUUGAAAGUAAAGGAAAAAUUUGAACCUAUUGACAUAGGAAAUGAAGAGAAGUUCGAAAAAAUGAUAAUCACUACUAUGCAAAAUGUCUUUAAAAAUUGGAAGACGAACUUACACACUCAUUCUAAGAAAUAUGACACUACUGAGGAGAGGCUGGGUAACACACCUCAAACUAUUAGCUCUCAGGAUUGGGAGUCGUUAAUGACAUAUUUUCAGUCUGACAAGUUCAAGGUAUAUUACCGUCCCUUUAAGUAAAUCAUAUUUUUACUUCUGCUAUUACAUCCUGCUUACUCGCCAAAUGUGUCGUAGCAAAAAAGUAUAAGAAACAUUCAAAAUCGAGAAAAACAAGUGACUAAGCAUACUUGUGGCCCUUGAUCAUUUGCGAAAGUUGAAUUCUUGAUAAGAAACCCCACAAGUGGACAGCCUGCUCCCCCUGAUCAGGUGUGGGAGGUAACACAUACUGGAAAGGCUGCAAACAGACAGUUAGUGCGGGUGGAUCUACAUUCUAGACAGA
Molecule: long non-coding RNA, 572 nt
Organism: Neltuma alba
Lineage: Eukaryota; Viridiplantae; Streptophyta; Magnoliopsida; Fabales; Fabaceae
Exons: 3
Source: RefSeq, a predicted model, not a curated record